UGGAAACAUGCAUAAACACUCAGCUUGUGAUUGCUUCCAUGUGAAAUCAGAUAUGGAGGAGCUUCAGGAGGAAAAUAUAUAAAUGGAGCUGUCAGUGCGUGGCUGGAAAUGAGUUGUGUCAGCUUCUGAAGAUGACUGGCUCUUCCUGAAGAGGUUGUUGAUCAAAGGGCAACUGGUACCACUUUCCUUUGCUCCUCAUGCCGCUGCAAAAUCUCCCAGUAUUUGUACUGCCUCCUCCUUCCAUGAAAGCUGUUCUCAUACAAGAAAAUUAUUGAUGCCAAGAGAUGUGCGUCAUCUUCCUGCGCGUGGCUCCGCUGCCAGUCCUAAGCCAAUACCCCACGCCUUACAGCCGUUACCACUUCUUCUUGAUGUCCAUGCUAUGCUUUCCAGGUUCCAAGGCAAUAUGGAAGAUGCUCCAAAUAUCA
Molecule: long non-coding RNA, 425 nt
Filed under: Chinchilla lanigera (long-tailed chinchilla)
Lineage: Eukaryota; Metazoa; Chordata; Mammalia; Rodentia; Chinchillidae
Description: lncRNA (ENSCLAG00000027647.1)
Source: RNAcentral